CAUCAGCAGUAACACUUCACAAAAUUCAUCAUCAUCAGGAUCAUUGGUGUCCAGUUGUGUGUUUCUGUGUUCAGUGGUGAAUGUGAGUGCUGUGACUCUCUCCUGGUACAAAGGAAACAGUUUAUUGUCCAGCAUCAGUGUGUCUGAUCUCAGCAGAAGUCUUUCUUUACAUCUGGAGUGUCUGGAUGAUUUCUACAGCUGUGUGGUGAACAAUCCCAUCAGAAACCAGACCACACAUCUCAACACUGAACUCUGUCAGACAUGUUCAGUUCAGACCGGUGAUAGAGAGAUCACUUACGCUGAUCCGACAUUUUACAAAAGACAUGAAUCGAGAGCUACAGAGCAGGACAAUGUGGUGUACGCAGGAGUUGCAAGAC
Carassius carassius (crucian carp) is the source of this 377-nucleotide long non-coding RNA. RefSeq lists it as uncharacterized. The transcript has 3 exons. Lineage: Eukaryota; Metazoa; Chordata; Actinopteri; Cypriniformes; Cyprinidae. The record is from RefSeq and is a predicted model, not a curated record.